RNAcentral lists this ribosomal RNA (497 nucleotides) under uncultured bacterium. RNAcentral's name for it is "partial 16S ribosomal RNA". It matches the Rfam family "Bacterial small subunit ribosomal RNA", at positions 28 to 507 of the family's 1533-position model. The record is from RNAcentral.
GAUGAACGCUGGCGGCGUGCCUAAUACAUGCAAGUCGAGCGAACAGACGAGGAGCUUGCUCCUCUGACGUUAGCGGCGGACGGGUGAGUAACACGUGGAUAACCUACCUAUAAGACUGGGAUAACUUCGGGAAACCGGAGCUAAUACCGGAUAAUAUAUUGAACCGCAUGGUUCAAUAGUGAAAGACGGUUUUGCUGUCACUUAUAGAUGGAUCCGCGCCGCAUUAGCUAGUUGGUAAGGUAACGGCUUACCAAGGCAACGAUGCGUAGCCGACCUGAGAGGGUGAUCGGCCACACUGGAACUGAGACACGGUCCAGACUCCUACGGGAGGAAGCAGUAGGGAAUCUUCCGCAAUGGGCGAAAGCUUGACGGAGCAACGCCGCGUGAGUGAUGAAGGUCUUCGGAUCGUAAAACUCUGUUAUUAGGGAAGAACAAAUGUGUAAGUACCUAUGCACGUCUUGACGGUACCUAAUCAGAAAGCCACGGCUAACUCCGUG